UACGGGGGGGGCAAGCGUUGUUCGGAAUUACUGGGCGUAAAGGGAGCGUAGGCGGACAGUUAAGUCAGAGGUGAAAGCCCAGGGCUCAACCCUGGAAUUGCCUUUGAUACUGAUUGUCUUGAGUAUGGGAGAGGUAUGCGGAACUCCGAGUGUAGAGGUGAAAUUCGUAGAUAUUCGGAAGAACACCAGUGGCGAAGGCGGCAUACUGGCCCAUUACUGACGCUGAGGCUCGAAAGCGUGGGGAGCAAACAGG
This 253-nucleotide ribosomal RNA is filed under the name uncultured bacterium. RNAcentral describes it as "partial 16S ribosomal RNA". It matches the Rfam family "Bacterial small subunit ribosomal RNA", at positions 524 to 776 of the family's 1533-position model. The record is from RNAcentral.